CUCUCAUACCAUUGAUCGGGCACUGUGUGAUCGGGAAUGUUACUUGAUGUGCUUGCAUGGGGCAAGGCUUGUUGAUUGCUUGCGCGGGGCAAGGUUUGAGUUGCUUGCGCCGGGCAAGGCUUUUUUGAUUGCUUGCGCGAGGCAAGGCUUUUUGUAGCUUGAUCAUAUUUUGACGAAUUGCUUAAUUCUUAUUAUACUUUAAAAAAGACUUGGCACGCAGGCCUGACAACUAAAAACGUGAACCUUGGCACGCAGGCCUGACAAUUGAAAACGUGAACCUUGAUGCGCAGGCCUGACUACAGAUAAUUGGAAGACUCAUAAUAUAUCUUUAAAUUCUCGGCGUUCCAUGGUCUAGGAAGCGGCCUUCCUGACGUAUCCCUUAAAUUGUAUGUGCCUCCUUGGAUUUGUCGUAUGACUUCGAAGGGCCCUUCCCAAACUGGUCCUAGCUUGCCCGGGGCAUGACCUGCUGCUUCAGCCCUUCUUAACACAAGGUCUCCGGCUCUAAAUCUCCGCGUCCUUACCUUUUUCUUGAAGUACUUUGCUGUUUUAUCCUGGUAAGAGGCCAUUUUUAAAGCAGCCCGAUCCCGAACUUCUUCUAAGAGGUCUAGGUGUUCAGUUGUGCACCCUACAUCUUCGGGCUCGAGCCUCCUUUGGCUGGGCAACCUGACUUCAACAGGGAUGGUGGCCUCAAUUCCAAAAGCCAACAUGAAGGGGGUUUCCCCUGUAGCAGUGCUGUGUGACGUUCUAUACGUCCAAAGUAUGGAAGGCAACUCGACAGACUAGGAACCUCUUGCAUCGCCGAUCCUUGUACGGAGAUCUUGCAAUAUAAUCCGAUUGGUCACUUCGGUGAGACCAUUACUUUGAGGAUGGGAAACCGACGUCAAACGGUGAUCAACUCCUAGGUCGGCACAAAAGUUUUUAAAUUGUGCAUUGUCAAACUGCCUGCCAUUAUCAGUUAUGAGGACUUUUGGUAUCCCGAACCUACAUAUGAUGGAUCUCCAAAUGAAACUUCUUAACUUUGGCUCUGAAAUUGUUGCUAAAGGCUCGGCCUCUACUCACUUAGUGAAAUACUCUACAGCCACAGCCACAAACUUCAAUUGUCCCCUACUUAUUGGAAAGGGACCAAGGAUGUCAAUUCCCCACUGCUCAAAUGGGGCUGUGCAACCAAUGCUAGUGAGGUCUUUUGCGGGAGGGAGGAUGACAUUGCCAAAUCUUUGGCACUUGUCACACUUCUUGAUAUAUUCCUAGGCGUCUUUCUUUAUGGUUGGCCAAUAAUAUCCAUACCUUAUGAGCUUGAAGGCUAAAGCCCGUGCUCCUUGAUGGUUCCCACAUACACCUUCAUGAACUUCUUCUACGGCCUAGGAUGAUUCGGAAGGCCUAAGGCAUAUGAGGUACGGAAGUGUGAGGCUCCUGAGAAAUAAAAUACCUUUAAUCAUGCAAUACCUUUGAGCUUUGGACCGGAUGCUUCUCGCUGCCUGAGGAUCUGCUGGAAGACUUCCAUGUUUUAUGAAGUCCACUAUUGGGUCCAUCCAUGAUGUCUCAUUAUCAAUAUCUAUG
RNAcentral lists this long non-coding RNA (1557 nucleotides) under Olea europaea subsp. europaea. Lineage: Eukaryota; Viridiplantae; Streptophyta; Magnoliopsida; Lamiales; Oleaceae. The record is from RNAcentral.